Molecule: transfer RNA, 72 nt
Filed under: Acaryochloris sp. CRU_2_0
Lineage: Bacteria; Bacillati; Cyanobacteriota; Cyanophyceae; Acaryochloridales; Acaryochloridaceae
Also listed under: 2 other names
Description: tRNA-Thr
Rfam family: tRNA
About the family: Transfer RNA (tRNA) molecules are approximately 80 nucleotides in length.
Source: RNAcentral
GCCGAUGUAGCUCAGAGGUAGAGCACUCGAUUCGUAAUCGAGCGGUCGUGAGUUCAAAUCUCAUCAUCGGCU